AGUGAACGCUGGCGGUAGGCCUAACACAUGCAAGUCGAACGGCAGCACAGUAAGAGCUUGCUCUUACGGGUGGCGAGUGGCGGACGGGUGAGGAAUACAUCGGAAUCUACUUUUUCGUGGGGGAUAACGUAGGGAAACUUACGCUAAUACCGCAUACGACCUACGGGUGAAAGCAGGGGAUCUUCGGACCUUGCGCGAUUGAAUGAGCCGAUGUCGGAUUAGCUAGUUGGCGGGGUAAAGGCCCACCAAGGCGACGAUCCGUAGCUGGUCUGAGAGGAUGAUCAGCCAAACUGGAACUGAGAAAAGGUCCAGACUCCUACGGGAGGCAGCAGUGGGGAAUAUUGGACAAUGGGCGCAAGCCUGAUCCAGCCAUACCGCGUGGGUGAAGAAGGCCUUCGGGUUGUAAAGCCCUUUUGUUGGGAAAGAAAAGCAGCAGGUUAAUACCCCGCUGUUCUGACGGUACCCAAAGAAUAAGCACCGGCUAACUUCGUG
RNAcentral lists this ribosomal RNA (492 nucleotides) under uncultured bacterium. RNAcentral's name for it is "partial 16S ribosomal RNA". It matches the Rfam family "Bacterial small subunit ribosomal RNA", at positions 29 to 507 of the family's 1533-position model. The record is from RNAcentral.